Molecule: ribosomal RNA, 305 nt
Filed under: uncultured bacterium
Lineage: Bacteria
Description: bacterial SSU rRNA
Rfam family: Bacterial small subunit ribosomal RNA
Source: RNAcentral
UCCUACGGGGGGCAGCAGUGGGGAAUAUUGCACAGUGGGGGAAACCCUGAUGCAGCGACGCCGCGUGAGUGAAGAAGUAUUUCGGUAUGUAAGGCUCUAUCAGCAGGGAAGAAAAUGACGGUACCUGACUAAGAAGCCCCGGCUAACUACGUGCCAGCAGCCGCGGUAAUACGUAGGGGGCAAGCGUUAUCCGGAUUUACUGCGUGUAAAGGGAGCGUAGACGGCUGCGCAAGUCUGAAGUGAAAGCCCGGGGCUCAACCCCGGGACUGCUUUGGAAACUGUGUAGCUAGAGUGCUGGAGAGGCA